Panicum virgatum (switchgrass) is the source of this 1391-nucleotide long non-coding RNA. RefSeq lists it as uncharacterized. NCBI's taxonomy places the organism in Eukaryota, Viridiplantae, Streptophyta, Magnoliopsida, Poales, Poaceae. The transcript is spliced from 2 exons. The record is from RefSeq and is a predicted model, not a curated record.
UCUCCUCCUCGACAUCGCCCCCCACUGACGUCGACGGGGCAGACCCCUGCGUGGGCCGCCAGAUCCACAUCCGCCACCCGCGAUUCGCUCGCUGACCACGACCAGCGCAGUCUCGGGCGACCUCAGCUGGCCAGGCCCCGGCCGUGAGUGCGGCCGCCGCCGCGGCCUCCGUCGUCGUCCCCGCCACGCCGAGCCGCUGCAGAGGAGGACAAGGAAAGGGAGGAGCCACAGCGGAAGACAUCCCGCCACGCCGAUCUGCCCACCGGGCAACCACGCCAGGCCGCCGCGCCUCUCGCCGGGCCGUCACGUGCGCCACGCCAAGAUGGCCACCGGGCCGCGGACGAGGAGAACAGAAGAGAAGGGGCCGCCAUGGCGGAACGGCCCAACCGCAUCGAGCCGGCGGCCCUCUCUCGGCCGCGCGGCCCUCUCUCGGCCGCGCGGCCCGACGUGGCGCCUCUGCCUCACGCGGCCUGGGCCGUGCUCUUGCGCCGCCGCCGGCUGCCACACCCGACCGCGGCUCGCCCUCCACCUGACCGCCGUGCAACGCAGCGCUAGCUCGCGCCGCGUGGCCUAGCCCUCCUGCCGUUGGCCAAAGGAAGGCAGCAUGCCCGCACGCCUGAGCAUCCUCUUCUUUGGAUCACGGCUGCAGCUACCUUUACAAGAAGGACGUCCCUCCUCUGCUCCUAACUUUUGCCAUGGCCGGCGCUCACUACCUGUUCGACGAAAUGCACAUCCCAUGUUUGCCAACAGAUUGUACACAGAGCUCCAGCAGAGUGCCAUCCUUAUAAACACACCUCCAUCUGCAGUCACUGCGCGCUGCCGGGCGCGGCAAGCGGCUGGCGGUGGAGUGCGUCCCCCGCAGCAGCGCUGUACGGGCCAUGGACGGUGUCCACCGGCGAGGCCGUGGCGCUCAUGCCGGCCGGCCGCAAUGGAGGGGCUCGCAAUAGCGCCGCGUAGGUGGGGCAGCGGCAAGGAGCAUGCCGACGUGCGGCCAGCCGGCGAUGAAGCGCCUCGACCACCACGACACGCAGAUGCGGCAGCGGUGACGAGAGCAAGCUGCGCUGAUGCCCCAGCCUGUGCUCGCUAUUCUCCGAAAUCCAAAAGUGAAACAGGUGAUUUUGAGCUUGGGAGUUGCUUGGACGACCAAUUUUGGAGCCAAUGGAGGGGAUGUCAAGACCCCUCGAUCGAUUGGCUAGGCCAUAUGAGUAUGAAGCGCUUCUUUCCCUUGGGACACUGAAUCUAUUCCCAACGAAUUAGCAGACGCUGUCGAUUCAUCUUGUUCUUCCCUGUUUCUUUGAAAGAUAAGAAGUUGAUAUAUUUCUGUUUGAAUAAUAAUGCUAUUACCAGAGACCAUAAGAAUAAUUGCUGCUACAUGGGUGUAGCUUUAUUGC